RNAcentral lists this transfer RNA (85 nucleotides) under Felis catus (domestic cat). It matches the Rfam family "tRNA". From Rfam's summary of the family: Transfer RNA (tRNA) molecules are approximately 80 nucleotides in length. Their secondary structure includes four short double-helical elements and three loops (D, anti-codon, and T loops). Further hydrogen bonds mediate the characteristic L-shaped molecular structure. tRNAs have two regions of fundamental functional importance: the anti-codon, which is responsible for specific mRNA codon recognition, and the 3' end, to which the tRNAs corresponding amino acid is attached (by aminoacyl-tRNA synthetases). tRNAs cope with the degeneracy of the genetic code in two manners: having more than one tRNA (with a specific anti-codon) for a particular amino acid; and 'wobble' base-pairing, i.e. permitting non-standard base-pairing at the 3rd anti-codon position. Lineage: Eukaryota; Metazoa; Chordata; Mammalia; Carnivora; Felidae. The record is from Rfam by way of RNAcentral.
GCCUGGGUGGCUCAGUCGGUUAAGCGUCCGACUUCAGCUCAGGUCAUGAUAUCACGGAUCGUGGGUUCGAGCCCCACAUCGGGCU